This 156-nucleotide non-coding RNA is filed under the name Faecalibacillus faecis. Lineage: Bacteria; Bacillati; Bacillota; Erysipelotrichia; Erysipelotrichales; Coprobacillaceae. The record is from RNAcentral.
AUAGGUUUUGAAUAUUUUAUAUUUAAAUUAAAAAGGAAUCAGGUGUAAAACCUGGACGGUCCCGCCGCCGUAAUGUGGAGGAUAAGCAUAAAGUCACUGGGAAACUGGGAAGACGCUUAAACAAAGAAACAGAGUCGGAAUACUUGCCUAUAUCUA